AAGUGACACCCAUUUAGCUAAACCCUUCAAAGCAGUGGAAUUCUAUGUGUUUAUUGUUUGGUGGGUAAAAUUCAAAAAUGGAUCAAGAUCAACAAUGGCUUAUCAACUGCUUGAAUGCUACGCUUGAUCCAAACCAACAAGUUCGUUCUUUUGCUGAAACUUCUCUUCAACAAGCUACCCUUCAACCAGGUUUUGGAAGCUCAUUGUGUAGAAUUGCGGAAAAG
Molecule: unclassified non-coding RNA, 224 nt
Filed under: Hevea brasiliensis (rubber tree)
Lineage: Eukaryota; Viridiplantae; Streptophyta; Magnoliopsida; Malpighiales; Euphorbiaceae
Source: RNAcentral